This 626-nucleotide ribosomal RNA is filed under the name uncultured bacterium. Its description in RNAcentral is "bacterial SSU rRNA". It matches the Rfam family "Bacterial small subunit ribosomal RNA", at positions 338 to 957 of the family's 1533-position model. The record is from RNAcentral.
CCUACGGGAGGCAGCAGUGGGGAAUUUUGGACAAUGGGCGCAAGCCUGAUCCAGCAAUGCCGCGUGAGUGAAGAAGGCCUUCGGGUUGUAAAGCUCUUUUGUCAGGGAAGAAACGGUGAGGGCUAAUAUCUCUUGCUAAUGACGGUACCUGAAGAAUAAGCACCGGCUAACUACGUGCCAGCAGCCGCGGUAAUACGUAGGGUGCAAGCGUUAAUCGGAAUUACUGGGCGUAAAGCGUGCGCAGGCGGUUUUGUAAGUCUGUCGUGAAAUCCCCGGGCUCAACCUGGGAAUUGCGAUGGAGACUGCAAGGCUAGAAUCUGGCAGAGGGGGGUAGAAUUCCACGUGUAGCAGUGAAAUGCGUAGAGAUGUGGAGGAACACCGAUGGCGAAGGCAGCCCCCUGGGUCAAGAUUGACGCUCAUGCACGAAAGCGUGGGGAGCAAACAGGAUUAGAUACCCUGGUAGUCCACGCCCUAAACGAUGUCUACUAGUUGUCGGGUUUUAAUUAACUUGGUAACGCAGCUAACGCGUGAAGUAGACCGCCUGGGGAGUACGGUCGCAAGAUUAAAACUCAAAAGUAGUAAGUACGACGCGAGAGAGACGACGACGACGACGAGGAGGGAGGAGG